Non-coding RNA from Heterocephalus glaber (naked mole-rat), 46 nucleotides. Lineage: Eukaryota; Metazoa; Chordata; Mammalia; Rodentia; Bathyergidae. The record is from Rfam.
CCAAAGGUUCUUUUCAGAGCCACUGAAGUUUUUUAAGGAGUUGAGA